RNAcentral lists this ribosomal RNA (467 nucleotides) under uncultured bacterium. Its description in RNAcentral is "partial 16S ribosomal RNA". It matches the Rfam family "Bacterial small subunit ribosomal RNA", at positions 28 to 506 of the family's 1533-position model. The record is from RNAcentral.
GACGAACGCUGGCGGCGUGCUUAACACAUGCAAGUCGAACGGAAAGGCCCUGCUUUUGUGGGGUGCUCGAGUGGCGAACGGGUGAGUAACACGUGAGUAACCUGCCCUUGACUUUGGGAUAACUUCAGGAAACUGGGGCUAAUACCGGAUAGGAGCUCCUGCUGCAUGGUGGGGGUUGGAAAGUUUCGGCGGUUGGGGAUGGACUCGCGGCUUAUCAGCUUGUUGGUGGGGUAGUGGCUUACCAAGGCUUUGACGGGUAGCCGGCCUGAGAGGGUGACCGGCCACAUUGGGACUGAGAUACGGCCCAGACUCCUACGGGAGGCAGCAGUGGGGAAUAUUGCACAAUGGGCGGAAGCCUGAUGCAGCAACGCCGCGUGCGGGAUGACGGCCUUCGGGUCGUAAACCGCUUUCGCCUGUGACGAAGCGUGAGUGACGGUAAUGGGGAAAGAAGCACCGGCUAACUACGU